CCAGUUUGAAAGCAACAACCUCAGCAGACUGAACAGGAGAUAAGUCAGAGUUCCUGCCAACCAUCAAAGGGUCCUCCAGUCCUUCUUAGGAUUUGAACUGAACAACCUUCAUCUAAAAACACCCAAGUAAUUAUAUAAAGUUUGUUUUGACAAAGACAGAAUCUAUAUGACAAAGCUUCAAGACUGACCCCCCCACAUAGCAGUUUUAACUAACUUAAGACUUCCACUCCACCCUAGGAGUUAUUGUAUGUUUUCCUACAUUUUCUUUUUAAAGAAACUGUUUACAUAUAUCUAUCUCAAUUUUGUCUUUUCGACAAAAUUGUACUGGUGGAAAAGAUCUCAUGACUAAUAUUUCAGGAUCUAUAAUGCUGGUGGAAAUUCACAUUUAAAAACAUUUUCAAAUGGUUUAACCUAGGAGUUCCUUAAGUAUUCUCUCAGACUUACAUUUCUUAAAUCAUGCAUAUAUCUCAAUUAUGGGUGGAAAUUUAAAAAUCACUGACUCAUAGCUAAAUAAAUUGGACAUGUCUGAGCUAAGUACCUUAGUACACAUUAAAAUAAAUUGCUCCACUACAUUGCAUAUGUAACAAAUGUGCAGAUAAUCCAUAUGACAGUGCAGAUUAAGGCGAAACUAUAAAGUGAAACUUUAGGGUGUGACUGCAGAUAACAAGGAGUACCAUGUACAUGUAAAAACAGGCAGUUUUUGAGACAGUUUCCAGAAGAUGCUAAGAAAAUGUAUUAACCCAUCAUUCCAAGCUGAGAGGACAAAUGUUUCAGAGAUGUGCAAGGCCAGCACGGUGUUUCUUUUCCUUAUCUAUUCAAGUACAAGCUAGCUUUUUGGCUACAGAAGACUUAAAAAGACACAAGGAAUUUCUCUACCCUUCAGUCUAUUUCAAAGUAUAAAAUAUUCUUGAUAUUUUGAAAGAAAGAAUCAGGAGUUAAGAAAACUGAAGAUUCUGAAGCAGGGAAGGAGGGGUACCUAGAAAACAAACCAUCCACUUAGAGUUAACACUAUCAGAGACCAUUCUCAGGAGAGAUGAUUCUGGGUCAUUUUAAGGAGUACCAACAUCUAAGCACCAUGGUAAUUGGGGACUUGCAGCUUUCUACAAACAAUAAAACUGUCACUUGCCUUUUAUAGAAACCAGGUCACUAGUAGAAAGGGACAUGUAUAUAUGGAAUCUCUGGUAUUACUAUUCCAGGUGAAUCAGAGAAUAUGCCAAUCACAACACACCCAGUGAAUGGCGGUUGCUCAGAUGUUGUAAACCUGGAAGAUUUAAUGUCCUAACAGGCAGUCCUCCUCCCUGUCUCAGACAAAAAAGAUGCACACCUUUCUCACCAAUUCAAGAAGGAACACAGGAACAACAGUGAAUAAAGCUAAUACUAUUCUAGAAAAAAUCUUGACCCACCUUAAUUUACUAAAGUUAUGAUUUUAAAAUUUGGUUCUUUAACUGUCAAUAAUAACCGAACACAACACACCAGGGAUAAAACGACAAUGAUAUAAUAUGUUAUAGGCCACUCUCCACAAAAGAAGGAACAAAGAUUUCAAACCAAAUCUAAGGAAGGAGAAAAGGAAAAAUAUAAAGCCCCAUAAGAAAACUAUGAGCUUGGAUAGUAUGUAGCAUAACAUUUGACAGAGAAGAAAGAAAACAAACUGUGUGUGGGUUUGGAACAACACCCAGAGGUUAGGCUAUCUCUAUACUAUCAAAUCCCAGAGUACAAACAACAGAGUGAACCUGGAACUGCAAUAUAAGAAAGAAAACAAGCCUAUCAGUCCUGUGGUGUGUGGGAACUCAGGCCUCAACAUCAACACAUGAAUGAGAUCUCUGACAGAAGAGGAAGGAGAAAACGUGAUGUAAAGAAAUCAAUACAUCCAUAUAUACAUGUCCCUUUACAGUAGUGGCCCUGUUUUCUACAAAUAGUAUAUCCACUGGAAACCUGUGAAUCUGGGGGUAACAUUAUGAAUAGUAACAAAAAUGGGGGUGGGGUGCUGGGGAUGUAGCUGAGCAGUAGAAUGCCUUGGGUUCAAUUCCCAGUACAGCAAAUAAAUACAAUGUAUGAACUACACAGCAAUAAAAUUC
Molecule: long non-coding RNA, 2075 nt
Filed under: Marmota monax (woodchuck)
Lineage: Eukaryota; Metazoa; Chordata; Mammalia; Rodentia; Sciuridae
Source: RNAcentral